CUACGGGAGGCUGCAGUGGGGAAUAUUUGGCAAUGGGCGCAAGCCUGACCCAGCAACGCCGCGUGAAGGAUGAAGGUUUUCGGAUUGUAAACUUCUGUCGCGAGGGACGAAGAAUGACGGUACCUCGUAAGAAAGCCCCGGCUAACUACGUGCCAGCAGCCGCGGUAAUACGUGGGGGGCGAGCGUUAUCCGGAUUUAUUGGGUUUAAAGGGUGCGCAGGCGGUCUGUUAAGUCAGCGGUCAAAGCCCGGGGCUCAACCCCGGCCCGCCGUUGAAACUGGCAGUCUCGAGUUGGAGAGAAGUAUGCGGAAUGCGCGGUGUAGCGGUGAAAUGCAUAGAUAUCGCGCAGAACUCCGAUUGCGAAGGCAGCAUGCCGGCUCCACACUGACGCUGAGGCACGAAAGCGUGGGUAUCGAACAGGAUUAGAUACCCCAGUAGUC
Molecule: ribosomal RNA, 439 nt
Filed under: uncultured bacterium
Lineage: Bacteria
Description: partial 16S ribosomal RNA
Rfam family: Bacterial small subunit ribosomal RNA
Source: RNAcentral